This 106-nucleotide ribosomal RNA is filed under the name Desulfallas thermosapovorans DSM 6562. RNAcentral describes it as "partial 16S ribosomal RNA". It matches the Rfam family "Bacterial small subunit ribosomal RNA", at positions 1 to 95 of the family's 1533-position model. Lineage: Bacteria; Bacillati; Bacillota; Clostridia; Eubacteriales; Desulfallaceae. The record is from RNAcentral.
CUUUUAUGGAGAGUUUGAUCCUGGCUCAGGACGAACGCUGGCGGCGUGCUUAACACAUGCAAGUCGAACGGGGUUUAACGAGAAGCUUACUUUUUGUUAAACCUAG